RNAcentral lists this ribosomal RNA (154 nucleotides) under Nicotiana sylvestris (wood tobacco). RNAcentral describes it as "5.8S ribosomal RNA". It matches the Rfam family "5.8S ribosomal RNA". From Rfam's summary of the family: 5.8S ribosomal RNA (5.8S rRNA) is a component of the large subunit of the eukaryotic ribosome. It is transcribed by RNA polymerase I as part of the 45S precursor that also contains 18S and 28S rRNA. The record is from Rfam by way of RNAcentral. Lineage: Eukaryota; Viridiplantae; Streptophyta; Magnoliopsida; Solanales; Solanaceae.
CAUUCGUGGCAAGGGAUAUUUCAACUCUCGCAUCGAUGAAGAAUGUAGUAAAAUGUGAACUUGAUGUGAAUUGAAGAAUCCAGUGAACUAUCAAGUUUUGGAACGUAAGUUGUGCCCGAAAUCAUUAGACUGAGGGUAUGUUUGUGAGGACUCA